AAUAGCUCAGUCGGUUAGAGCAUCUGACUGUUAAUCAGAGGGUCGCUGGUUCGAGCCCAGCUU
Molecule: transfer RNA, 63 nt
Filed under: Dyadobacter jejuensis
Lineage: Bacteria; Pseudomonadati; Bacteroidota; Cytophagia; Cytophagales; Spirosomataceae
Also listed under: 4 other names
Rfam family: tRNA
About the family: Transfer RNA (tRNA) molecules are approximately 80 nucleotides in length.
Source: RNAcentral